This 312-nucleotide ribosomal RNA is filed under the name uncultured bacterium. Its description in RNAcentral is "bacterial SSU rRNA". It matches the Rfam family "Bacterial small subunit ribosomal RNA", at positions 28 to 339 of the family's 1533-position model. The record is from RNAcentral.
GACGAACGCUGGCGGCGUGCUUAACACAUGCAAGUCGAGCGGUAAGGCCCUUUCGGGGGUACGACGAGCGGCGAACGGGUGAGUAACACGUGGGUGACCUGCCCUUAGCUCUGGGAUAAGCCUGGGAAACUGGGUCUAAUACCGGAUAUGACUCCAUAACGCAUGUUGUGGGGUGGAAAGCCUUGUGCGGCUAGGGAUGGGCCCGCGGCCUAUCAGCUUGUUGGUGGGGUGAUGGCCCAACCAAGGCGACGACGGGUAGCCGGCCUGAGAGGGCGACCGGCCACACUGGGACUGAGACACGGCCCAGACUCC